AAUAGAUACCCGGGUAGUCCUAGCCGUAAACGUUGGGUGCUAGGUGUGGGCGGAUAUCGACCCCGUCCGUGCCGAAGCUAACGCAUUAAGCACCCCGCCUGGGGAGUACGGCCGCAAGGCUAAAACUCAAAGGAAUUGACGGGGCCCCGCACAAGCGGCGGAGCAUGCUGCUUAAUUCGAUGCAACGCGAAGAACCUUACCUGGGUUUGACAUGCAGGGUGAAACCCGUGAAAGCGGGCGCUCUUCGGAGCCUGCACAGGUGGUGCAUGGCUGUCGUCAGCUCGUGCCGUGAGGUGUUGCCUUAAGUGGCGCAACGAGCGCAACCCCUGUCCUUAGCUGCCAGCGGGUCAUGCCGGGAACUCUAGGGAGACUGCCGGUGCCAAACCGGAGGAAGGUGGGGAUGACGUCAAGUCAGCAUGCCCCUUAUACCCAGGGCUGCAAGCAUGCUAACAUGCGCGAUACGAAAGGGCUGCGACGUCCCGGUAAGGGGNGACGAACUACCCGAAAAAGUCGCGCUCGAGUUCGGAUCGGAGGUCUGACCCG
RNAcentral lists this ribosomal RNA (543 nucleotides) under uncultured bacterium. RNAcentral describes it as "bacterial SSU rRNA". It matches the Rfam family "Bacterial small subunit ribosomal RNA", at positions 777 to 1314 of the family's 1533-position model. The record is from RNAcentral.